Molecule: ribosomal RNA, 251 nt
Filed under: uncultured archaeon
Lineage: Archaea
Description: partial 16S ribosomal RNA
Rfam family: Archaeal small subunit ribosomal RNA
Source: RNAcentral
CAGCCGUAAACUAUGCGCGUUAGGUGUAUCGGUGACCACGAGUUACCGAGGUGCCGAAGGGAAACCGUGAAACGUGCCGCCUGGGAAGUACGGUCGCAAGGCUGAAACUUAAAGGAAUUGGCGGGGGAGCACCACAACAGGUGGAGCCUGCGGUUUAAUUGGACUCAACGCCGGGAAGCUCACCGGAUAGGACAGCAGAAUGAUUGCCGGGCUGAAGACCCUGCAUGACUAGCUGAGAGGUGGUGCAUGGC